Non-coding RNA from Heterocephalus glaber (naked mole-rat), 901 nucleotides. The record is from RefSeq and is a predicted model, not a curated record. NCBI's taxonomy places the organism in Eukaryota, Metazoa, Chordata, Mammalia, Rodentia, Bathyergidae.
AAACAGGGGUCAGUGGCCGGGGGCUGCCGGCGCGGGCUUUGGCCUAGCGGCCUGGGCUGGAAGGCCCGGAAGAGCAGGCCGGCCCAGGGCUGCGGGCGAAGGGCAGGCUGCAUGGCCGCGCGAGUCUCGGGAUCUCGCUGCCCUCCGCACGUGUGACGAUUGAGCUGCCACGGGGCGGAAGAGCCUGCGCCCCAGCUCGCCGGGCCUGCAGUCCGAGCCGAGGGCGCAGAGGGCGGCGGGCGCGCGGCCAGCCUGGCCCCCUUCCCGGGGCCGGCCCUGGGGGCCCGCAGCGCCCACCCUGGCCUGGCACUCCUUUCGUGUGUCCCGAAGUCGUCGCCCGUCCCGCGCACGCCGCCUGGCUUUCUCACCUUCUCGCCCAGGCCUCACGUCUCCCCGGGCAAAUGGGGCCCAGCUCCCUGCAUGGGGCAGGGAGGCCGGGCCCAGGCGUCCAGAGCGCUCGUGGGGGGCGCGAGUGGUCGAGGGACCGGGCCCCCCACUGGGCCCAGGACCAGGGCCCGAGCGUGGGGAGGGCGCGACUCCUAGGGUAGGCGGGCGUGGUGGGGCACGGCUGGCUGCUGGCCGGCCGGCGCCGUGGUUCCCGUCCCGUGGAACUUCUCGGUGCGUCUGCGAGUGGAAUGGUGACCUGGACACGGGAAGCGUGAGACAGUGACCUGGAAGGCCACCCUGGGUGGAGGAGGCUGGAGCGCAGCCACCCAGGCAAAGCUGCUUCUGGGGACGAGGGGACCCAGAGGUGCACCACAGACAGGUCGCAGGGAAGUGCAACAAGCUUGUUUUCCCGGGUGUUUAAAAUGCAGCCCCAGUUGUAAAGUGUGUGAAAUUACGCACUGGUCUCUUAAAGAGUGCCUAAUUUAUAGUAAAUAGCGAGGUCUUUGUAAAUGGC